CGCAGGGCCGGAGCCUGUGCCUGCGCCUGCGCCUGCGCCGGGUUUGUCCGGUACGGCUGUGCCGCUCGGUGUGCACCGCUCCUCGGGACAGCGUGUGCCGGGGCCCUCCUCGGGAAAUAUUUCUUCCUUCUAUGGAAACCAACGAGCACCCGGGCCUGCACUCUUGAUAUAAAUACCCGGUGAUGACCGACUUAUUGCGGGCGACCGGGCGACGAAUCCACCGUUGGGACAGCACUGCCGGUGUCAGGCCGUGUAAGGAGUCGCUGUCCUUCUGUUUGUGAGCUCCCUCCAGGCACGUGAAGGCCGCAGUGAGGUCUCCCCAGAGCCUUCUCCAGGCCGCACGAGCCCAACUCCCUCAGCCCUUCCUGUCGGUGAGGCGCUCCGGCCCUCCCAGCACCUUUGCGGGAUUACGGCGGCCCGAGUGCAGCACCUCGCGCGUGGCCGUGUUGCACCUCAUCUGGUUCACGCGGUGCUGCUUUUCAAGCCUGUCCCGGGCCCCCCUGGAGGGCACACACAGCGCUGCCAUCACUCACCGCUGCGCGAGAUGCAGCUUCUGGUCCCUGGAAUGCUGUGCAGCAUGACAUUAGCACAGAGCUCCUGUCAGAGCAGCGCAGAUCCCAGCCCGGCCAGGCUGCCUGUGCCUGCUCCUGGGCUCCCAGCACUGACAGUGCCCACCAGGCCCAUCUGUGUGGGUCGGGGGGGAGAGAGAGGCAGCAGGCCUUUGGGGUCGGGUCUGGGGGGCUGUGGGGGCCACAGACUAUCACUGAGAUACGAAAUGUCUCUGCAGAGCUGGAAGGUCAGGAGCUGAGGAGAAUAUGAAGGGCUCCCAUCAUGCUGCUGAGUGCCCCUCCUCUCCUGGCCGUACGCUGAGGGCAGGUGGAGGCAGGGACAAGGGUCAGGAGCAAGGGCAGAAUGAUUUUUUGCUUUCUCAGUCUUCCUAGAAAGAAAGAAAAAAAAAAAUCUAAAAUCUUUAAGAUAUGUGUGGGAUCUGUUGAGUCACGGCCUGAACCACGGAUUGAUCACCUGUGGAAAGGACCCAGUCAGCCCUGAGAGCACAGGUGGAUUUGCCACAAGGUUUCUUACAAUGACUAACAGUAGAAGGAAAUGUGCUCUGAAGGGGUGUGCUUGCAAGUCGGCUCAAGAGAAAUGAAAAUCGUUGUAGCGGGGACCCUGCCUGGGAGCAGAGCAUUACCAAAUACGUUACUAUGCAAAGAAUCUCAUGUUGAAUAAUUUAGAAAUACCUUUUUGUUAGUGGUCAAGUAAAACAUGGCAACAGAGGGUAAUCUCAGGAAAAAGAGGGGAUAAAAACAUCUCUAUCAAGCCCAGACUUGAUGGGAAAGGAAGAGCUGAACAAGUGUGCGUGUCUGGGGGUGUUCAUCUUCUAGACUGCACCCAGAGAAGGAGAAUGAUUGUGAUGCUGCAGUCUCGGAACUCCAGUCAGUACACAAAUGGAAGGAUUUCUGGGCUGAGAUGAAUUUAUCUCCGCAGCUUCUAAUCUUUUGGAUUUUGUGUUCUAGUGCAGAGAAGCUUUUGGGCAUGAUUUAUCAUCACUAUAGCUAACACUGUAUGGGAAAAAAACUGACUUUAGAUCUUACAUCAAAGCUUUUAACAAAGCUUGUUUCCCUGGAUUUUACUUGCUUUCCAUUGUCUCCACCUCUCUGGUGCCUCUUUAAAAUAUAUGCCUAAUCUGAAAGCUGAGUGCAAGAAAUAUUUGUCUGACUUGUUUGCUCCCAUUCCGAAUCUUAUAAACACUAGUCUCUGUUGUGAAGGAGUCAUGCAUCAUUAAGAGUAAAUCUUUCUCGUACAAAAGCAAGAAAACAGAAGCAGUUCAAAUGUUGCUUCUUACAGCAGUACAGCAUCUCAGAACAGAGAAAAACACGGCUUGCAGAAACUUGAUUUCUGUCUUAUCAAAACA
Long non-coding RNA from Gallus gallus (chicken), 1915 nucleotides. NCBI's taxonomy places the organism in Eukaryota, Metazoa, Chordata, Aves, Galliformes, Phasianidae. The record is from Ensembl.